GACGAACGCUGGCGGCGUGCUUAACACAUGCAAGUCGAACGGAAAGGCCUUGCUUUCGUUGUGUGUUCGGGUUGCGAACGUGUGAGUAACACGUGAGUAACCUGCCCUUUCUUUUGGGAUAACUUCAGUAAACUGGGGCUACUACCGGUUAUUCGCUCCUGCUGCACGGUGGGGUUUGGAAAGUUUCGGCGGUUGGUGAUGGACUCGCGGCUUAUCAGCUUGUUGGUGGGGUAGUGGCUUACCAAGGCUUUGACGGGUAGCCGGCCUGAGAGGGUGACCGGCCACAUUGGGACGGAGAUACGGCCAAGAAUCCUAGGGGAGGCAGCAGUGGGGAAUAUUGCACAAUGGGCGGAAGCCUGAUGCAGCAACGCCGGGUGCGGGAUGACGGCCUUCGGGUGGUAAACCGCUUUCGCCUGUGACGAAGCGGGAGUGACGGUAAUGGGUAAAGAAGCACCGGCUAACUACGUG
RNAcentral lists this ribosomal RNA (468 nucleotides) under uncultured bacterium. Its description in RNAcentral is "partial 16S ribosomal RNA". It matches the Rfam family "Bacterial small subunit ribosomal RNA", at positions 28 to 507 of the family's 1533-position model. The record is from RNAcentral.